This 97-nucleotide vault RNA is filed under the name Podarcis muralis (Common wall lizard). RNAcentral's name for it is "Vault RNA (ENSPMRG00000004589.1)". It matches the Rfam family "Vault RNA". Rfam says of the family: This family of RNAs are found as part of the enigmatic vault ribonucleoprotein complex. The complex consists of a major vault protein (MVP), two minor vault proteins (VPARP and TEP1), and several small untranslated RNA molecules. It has been suggested that the vault complex is involved in drug resistance. The record is from Rfam by way of RNAcentral. Lineage: Eukaryota; Metazoa; Chordata; Lepidosauria; Squamata; Lacertidae.
CAGCCAGCUUAGCCCAGAGGUUUCAUCUACCAACGCAUUGCUUGGAUCCCCCAAUCGCUUUCAGCGGUUUGACACCUGCGGGCGCUGCCUAGCUUUA